This 822-nucleotide ribosomal RNA is filed under the name Coprinopsis xenobia. RNAcentral's name for it is "eukaryotic LSU rRNA". It matches the Rfam family "Eukaryotic large subunit ribosomal RNA", at positions 73 to 881 of the family's 3401-position model. Lineage: Eukaryota; Fungi; Basidiomycota; Agaricomycetes; Agaricales; Psathyrellaceae. The record is from RNAcentral.
GAUUCCCCUAGUAACUGCGAGUGAAGCGGGAAAAGCUCAAAUUUAAAAUCUGGCGGUCUUCGGCCGUCCGAGUUGUAAUCUAGAGAAGUGUUACCCGCGCCGGACCGUGUACAAGUCUCCUGGAAUGGAGCGUCAUAGAGGGUGAGAAUCCCGUCUUUGACACGGACUCCCGGGGCAUUGUGGUGCGCUCUCAAAGAGUCGAGUUGUUUGGGAAUGCAGCUCAAAAUGGGUGGUAAAUUCCAUCUAAAGCUAAAUAUUGGCGAGAGACCGAUAGCGAACAAGUACCGUGAGGGAAAGAUGAAAAGAACUUUGGAAAGAGAGUUAAACAGUACGUGAAAUUGCUGAAAGGGAAACGCUUGGAGUCAGUCGCGUUGGCCGGAAAUCAACCUUGCUUCUGUUGGGUGUACUUUCUGGUCGACGGGCCAGCAUCAGUUUUGACCGGUGGAAAAAGUUCGAGGGAAUGUGGCAUCUUCGGAUGUGUUAUAGCCCUUGUCCGUAUACAUCGAUUGGGACUGAGGAAUUCAGCACGCCGAAAGGCCGGGUCUUUGACCACGUUCGUGCUUAGGAUGCUGGCAUAAUGGCUUUAAUCGACCCGUCUUGAAACACGGACCAAGGAGUCUAACAUGCCUGCGAGUGUUUGGGUGGAAAACCCGAGCGCGUAAUGAAAGUGAAAGUUGGGAUCCUUGUCAUGGGGAGCACCGACGCCCGGACCAGAUGUUUACUGACGGCUCCGCGGUAAANCAUGUAUGUUGGGACCCGAAAGAUGGUGNNCUAUGNCUGAAUAGGGUGAAGCCAGAGGAAACUCUGGUGGAGGCCCGUAGC